Long non-coding RNA from Heterocephalus glaber (naked mole-rat), 930 nucleotides. RefSeq lists it as uncharacterized. The record is from RefSeq and is a predicted model, not a curated record. Lineage: Eukaryota; Metazoa; Chordata; Mammalia; Rodentia; Bathyergidae.
CUCUCUCAAUCUGACUGGAGGUGGAGGUAACACAAGCUAUGCAGAGUAGCUGAGUUGUACAAUCACAAUAAUCUUGGUGCUGACAAGUCGGUGGCUAGAACCAAGGUUGGCCUGAGCCAUAGCCAACUUCAGACUCAUAGCGGUGUUCACCUGGGAGCCCUGAGCAUCCUUGGAGACCUGAACCACUUGGAUUGUGACCACUUUUCAAAAUGCUUUUGGAACGCAUUUCUAUAAUUAAUAACAUUUGUUCUUUAUAGAAUAUCAACUGUUUAAGCCAAGCUUUCAAAAACAAUACCAAAUUGGGAAAAUUAAAAAACAUUAUUUUUCAGUUAUAUGAUGGAUUAUUUUUAUUUUAAAAAUCUGCUUAUUAAAUGGUAGGAGUUGCAGAAAGGUAGAAACUGAUCCUCAGACUCAUAUGGAAUUAUAAGGGGCCUAAGUAGCCAAGAACAAAGUUGGAGAACUCAUACAUUCUAAUUUCAAAACUUACUACAAAGCUACAGUAAUCAAAAUAGUGUGGUCAUGGAAUAGAAGUGAGAGUCCAGAAAUAAACCCACACAUCUAUGGCCAGUUGAGUUACAGAUACACUGAAUGAGGAAAGAAGCAUCUCUUCAACAAGUAGUACUGUGACAACUGGAUUUCCACAUACAAAAAGAAUGGAGUCUCUACCUCAUGUCAUAUAUAAAUAUUAACUCAAAAUAGAGCAGCAACUCAGUGUAAGAGCUAAAACCAUGUAACUUUUAGAAGACAGCAUAAAGAUAAAUCAUUAUGACUUUGGACUUAGCAGUGGGGUCUAAAUAUAACACCAAAAACAUGAACAACAAAAUAAUUUUUAAAAAUUGAGCAUCAUCAAAAUGAAAAGUGUUUAUACACCAAAGGAUAUUGUUGAGAAAGUGAAAAGACAAUUUACACAAUAAAAGAAAUAUUUGGAAA